GAAAGGAAACCCAGUUACAGAUGGAGGAGGCCUGGAGCCCCCAGGAACUCACAAUUACAUAAAACAUCAGCUUAAAGACUCUCAUAGACACCAGAGCAUGCCCAGAGGGAGAAGAACGUGCUUAGAAGCACGUAAGGGCAUUGCCUUCUUAGAGCGAUUUAGGAUGCCUCUGUUGAUUUGCCCGGUAGUAAUUACAGUAUUUAACUGGUCCAGGCUCAUGAAUCACACCUCUAGUCUCUGACAGGCUCCCUAAAUGUAUAGGUUACCGGUUCGGAAAGGUUUAACAAGACACGCUGGAAAAAGCAUUUUCUGUUUCUAUGGGAUUUCUCCCUAGACUAGUUCCAAAAUAUAAUCUAAGAUUUAAGAUCUAGUGUUUAGCUUUUGAAUUAGACUUCCUUGAUUUACUAAUGCCAGUGUUUGAAAAUUAUUGUAAAAAGCUUAUUAUGGAUAUAAAUGUUUCCCUCAAUUUAAUAAGCACAUACACAUUAAGUUGCAUCGUCUUCAGAGAAAGGGGAAAAAGUUCAAAUUUUGAAUUAACAGAAUCCAUAAGAGGCUAUCUCUAACCAUAUCUGGUGAAAAGCUUGGGAGAGGGGAAAGGAGAGGAAGGAGGAAGGAGGUUGAAAUUGUCUGCAGAAAUUUUAAAUAUUGGUUAAAACCACUUAGGCUUCCUACCCCACUAAAACUAAUAUAAUUUUACUUUCUUUAGUCAUCCAUUCUCUGCUAAAUGGGAUAAAAAUGCUGUUUAUUUUCUGCAAUUAUCUUAACUUUACCUCUUAUUGCUAGUCUUGCCCUUCUGGGGGGCUCAGGGGACCACGCCUCUUAUCUAUCAUUGGCAUUGGUCGGUGAAUCUGAAUUUGCCUAAGAAAAGGUUUCGUAAAGAAGGAUCUAGUGUGAUUUUACAGUGUUUAUAACCUUUAGUCCUCAUUUGUUCCAGGAAAGUAUAACUUGCCCUUUUCCAAAAAUGUGGGAGAAUUUAGAUACUUGAAAUUCUGGCGGGAAAAGCAUUAAGCCCUUAAGUAUAGAUCAGCAAUGGGUCAGGAUAAACCAUAGUAACAUUUCCGAUGUCAGUUUUAAGAUGAUUGCAUUGUUCUUACAUUCUGAUUGCACUGACAUCUAUGGCUAGAGUCAGCAUUACUUGCCCAUAUUGUCGAGAGAAUACGGAAAUCUCUUUUUGACUGAGGAAGAGUCACAGCAAGGGAUAAUCCAUAAUAGACACACCCAUUUUAAACAAAGGAACGCAAACCUAUCUACCCAUGUAUGUGAUUUUGUUAUUUUCCAAUGGAGAGAAUUAGAUGGCAUUAAAAACGUUAUUAUGAGUGGUGAGAAAAUGGGUAUGUAUUUCAGAUGAAGAAGUGGAGUAACUUGGGGCUGGCUUUUUGGAAGAUGCAAUUCAGGCUCAAGAUGUAUAGAGAUAUAAAAUUAGUCAGAAAUGAGUUUAUCUUUGAGUGAUGUUUUAUACAAAAGCACCACCUACUGGCAAAGAAUUACUUUCCUUCUCUUAUUAAUAGAUGAGCUAAUGUCAAGAAUAACAAAGGAGAAUUAUUUGUUUCCCUAUUAAGUUUUUCUUUCUCUGGCUUUUAUUAUCUUAUAGAAUCAAAGCGGUUUUAGCAUUUACAUCAAGAUACUACAGCGAGUGGAUAUAAUUUUCAAUCACCUGUUUAUACUUGUAUUUCUUUAUAUUUUUUGUUUUACAGUCUAUAUUAGUAUACUAAUUUUCUAAGAGUUUUAAUUAAGUAAUUUUUAAAUCAAGAAGAUAUUAAAAUGUGUGUGGGGGGAUACCUAUAUUUCAAAAGGAUCCAUAAUGGUGGAAUAUUUUAUCUUGGUUCAAUGUUACUUAAUGAUCCAUUUUGAUGUCAGAAAAAAAUCAUCUUUUGAUUUUUGGAAGAAAGAAUUUUUCUGACUCUGGGUAAGAAAGACCAUUUCACUAAAAUUUAAUGAAAUGUCUACCAUGAAUCACACAACUGUUUAAUAAUGAAUGCCAAUUAGGAGUCUGAAAAUAAAGUGGCAUAUCAAUACAUAUUUUUGUCUGCCCUUUGACAUCUAGAUUGUGUCUUCACAGGCGGGGGACAUGGAAAAUGAAAAAAAAAUUUUGGUGGUGUGAAAUGUGAAUUCAAGGCUUUUUAAAGGUUUGAACACUUCCAGAGUUUAAUGACAGGAGUCAUUUCUAUGAUACAGACAUACCUCAAAACUACCACAAGGGGGCAGAAAUACACAUCUUCUGACCAGAAAACAACAAAAAUUAUUUUUAUACCCAAAUUUAGGUUGUCUCUAUACCAAGAUAAAUCUCAACAGCAAUUUACUCACAGAACUUUCUACCAAAAGAUGGGCUGCAUGAGAUCCUAGGAAAAGAAUGGUGAAAGACUGGUAAGUAAGAGUGAAUAGGAUUUUAUCAGAUGGUUCAUAUGGAGACUUCCUGCAGAGAGAGAAUGCAGGAGAGAUCUCAGAGUCAUGACUAUAUUUGAGAAGAACAAACAUUUCUAUGAAGACGAAACACUGGAUAUUGGUAGAGUAUGAAAUUUUGAGAAGCUGGAAAAGUAGGCUUGGCUAACACAAGCCUCUCAGAUCAUGCUAUUUUAUAUUGAACUUCAUACUACAGAAAAUGAGCAGCCAAAGUUUGUUGGUGAGUGGUGAAGUGACACUGUGAACUCUGUGUGAGGAAAAUAAUAGUGGCAGUGGAAAUGCUAGAUGAAAGGGGGUUAGGGUGCUGCUAGGGGAGCUAGUUAGCAUGCACCUGCCAUGGAACGUGUGAGGGGUGAGGUCUCCACGAGGCAGCAGAGAUGCGAACAUUUACAAGGCAGAGGAGAGUCAUGAACAAAAGAAAAAAAUAAAGUAGAUAAAUCCAAGUUCUAGUCAUGAGAUCUCCAACAGAGUUCCUCCAACCAUACUGAACCUUAGUUUUCUCAAUGCUAAGCAGUUAUUUCAUAAGUUGAAAAAGAGUCAUAAAAGUAAUCUGAAUCAGAACUCCCAUAUACUCACCUGAGGCAGCCAUCACCAACAUGAUGACUGCAAUAUUAAUAAUAACAUACACUUUAUAUAGCAUUAUUUAGCAAUAAUACUAACCACAUACAGCAUACUCAUUAAGUACCCUGAACAGUACUAGUCACCUAGUAACUGCUAUCUAAGUGUUUGCUAUUAUGCAUGGAUAGAAAAGACCUUUAAGUCCUCACAAUGACAACCCUAUGAGGUACUGAUAGUCUCCCUGGGUUACAUAAUGAGAAAAAUGAAGAACAGAGAGGUCCAGUAGCUCGAUAUCAAACAGCGAUCACCUGGGAGAGCCAUGAUUUGAACCCAGCAGUGUGUCCUGAGUCCACACUCUGAAGUACAGCACUCACUGCCCAGCUCCUUGAGAAUCAAACACACUCUGAGAUUUUGAAAACUGCUUUAUGUUAAAUCUCAUUCUAACACUACAGGAAUACAAAGGAAGUGUGAGACCUGAAAGAGACACAAGAUUAAAGUUAGUCCUCUUGAGUCAGAGGUGUUGUGGAAGCUUGAGAAACACCUUACGUGGCUCACUUGGCCGUCCAAAUAGCUGUUCUGGUUCACAAGUUGCUGACCUUAUAUAGGAAGGCACAGAAUGAUGAUGUUCCGAACCAUACUUCUGGUGUCUCUCUGGAUAAAUAAAUAUUUACAAACAGGAAAUACUGGGUUUAGCUACAUGAAUGUCAGAGCAAUUGUUUAACUUUCAGUGUGCUAUUCAAGUAGAUGAUUAAAUAUGCUUUGAAAAAUAGAUUUUGGAGUAUUUUAGUCAAUAUUCUUCUCUCCUGUAAUGGAGGGUAAAGAUGUUUACCUGCCUAUUGUCAA
This is a long non-coding RNA of Hipposideros armiger (great roundleaf bat), 3801 nucleotides long. RefSeq lists it as uncharacterized. Lineage: Eukaryota; Metazoa; Chordata; Mammalia; Chiroptera; Hipposideridae. The record is from RefSeq and is a predicted model, not a curated record. The transcript is spliced from 3 exons.